This 30-nucleotide non-coding RNA is filed under the name Homo sapiens (human). The record is from RNAcentral. Lineage: Eukaryota; Metazoa; Chordata; Mammalia; Primates; Hominidae.
UGAGAUGCCGCUUGCCUUCUUCUUUGUUGA